This 451-nucleotide ribosomal RNA is filed under the name uncultured Verrucomicrobiota bacterium. RNAcentral describes it as "bacterial SSU rRNA". It matches the Rfam family "Bacterial small subunit ribosomal RNA", at positions 453 to 896 of the family's 1533-position model. The record is from RNAcentral. Lineage: Bacteria; Pseudomonadati; Verrucomicrobiota.
CUGCAUUUUAAUAGAAUGCAGCCUGACUUAACCCGGAGAGGAAGCAGUGGCUAACUCUGUGCCAGCAGCCGCGGUAAUACAGAGACUGCAAGCGUUAUUCGGAUUCACUGGGCGUAAAGGGUGCGCAGGCGGCCAAGUGUGUGAGGCGUGAAAGCCCGGGGCUUAACCCCGGAAUUGCACCUCAAACUACAUGGCUAGAGCAUUGGAGAGGGUAGCAGAAUUCAUGGUGUAGCAGUGAAAUGCGUAGAUAUCAUGAGGAAUACCAGAGGCGAAGGCGGCUACCUGGACAAUUGCUGACGCUCAGGCACGAAAGCGUGGGGAGCAAAAGGGAUUAGAUACCCCUGUAGUCCACGCCCUAAACGGUGCACACUAGGUCUUGGCGGAUUCGACCCCGCCAGGGCCCAAGCUAACGCGUUAAGUGUGCCGCCUGAGGACUACGGCCGCAAGGCUA